AAGUCAUAACAAGGUUUCCGUAGGUGAACCUGCGGAAGGAUCAUUAAUGAUGCCCUCGAAGUCCUUGGACUGGUAGGGUUUGUGUCGGUCUCUUCGGAGUCGACCUUAUCUCACACACCGUGAACUGUGGCUUCGGCCAUUUACACAAACUGUUAGUAAUGAAUGUAAUAUCAUAACAAACAUAAAACUUUUAACAACGGAUCUCUUGGCUCUC
Molecule: unclassified non-coding RNA, 214 nt
Filed under: Vishniacozyma foliicola
Lineage: Eukaryota; Fungi; Basidiomycota; Tremellomycetes; Tremellales; Bulleribasidiaceae
Description: partial internal transcribed spacer region
Rfam family: Eukaryotic small subunit ribosomal RNA (bases 1-46)
Source: RNAcentral